Molecule: long non-coding RNA, 11284 nt
Filed under: Capsicum annuum
Lineage: Eukaryota; Viridiplantae; Streptophyta; Magnoliopsida; Solanales; Solanaceae
Description: long non-coding RNA (CANN_LNC006113)
Source: RNAcentral
UUUUCUUUUGGGGCCCACGUGAUAUUUUUUUUUCUUCUUUUAUUUCCAAAUUGAUCGGUAGACCCCACGGGAAUUCCCAAUUUCCAUUCCACUCAUAUACACACUCUCUCUCACAUAUAUAUGGACACUGACAGUAACAAUACAGAGGGUGGACACCAUCAACAUCAUCUUCUCCACCUUAUACCAUAACAGCAAGACACUUCCAUUUCGAAUCAACUUCCAUUUUUCUCCAAAACAAUAGCCAUUAACGCACACAAUUACCCACAAAUACACAAAAACACGAAGAGUGGGUCGAGGGUGAAGCGAGGUCGAAAGAAAAAUAGAGAGAUAGAGGGGAUCGAAAUGGAUAGAGAGUGAGAGAUAUAGAGGAGGGAUAUGAGAGAUAAAUCGAAGAGGGAGAGAAAAAUUGGUGAGAAUAUGAGAGGCGCAGAUCGGAAACACGAUCGAGCCGGCGUUCUUGGCCGAAAACGGCCCGCCUCCUCCCCGGGAAAUACAAUCAGCUGUUCACCCACCACCACAAACGACCAACAUCCACUUCUCACCGUCCAGAAAUGCAAAACCAGUGAUUAAAUCACCCAAAAUCAGCCUGUUUUUGAGUUGAUUCCGGCGGAGCUUCACCGGAAAUCGUGUACGGGUUUGGUUUGUGCAGUUUCUUUUUUGGGUUAUCUGUUCGUCACUGCAUAAUUGUGUUUGAAUCCUACUCGAGAAAGUUUUCGUGUUCGGUGGGUUGACAGUCGAGAUUGUAUAUCCGUCGAGGUUAUCGGGACGACUCUUAUUUCUCUUAUUAAAAUCAAUCGAAAGCUCUUGAGGGUCAUCUCUUUACUCCCAUUCUGCCUUCUUUAUUUUAUUUUGUUUUGUUGAAAUUAGGGUCCAUCUCUUUACUCCCAUUCUGCCUUCUUUAUUUUAUUUUGUUUUGUUGAAAUUGCUAUGAUUAUAUGUUGGGUGAUUGUAGUUGUUUCAUAUUGUUGAUGUUAUGAUGAUGUGGUUGGUGAUGACUCCGAUGAUAUGAUGAAUGAAUUUGAUUAGUUUUAAUGAUGCGAUUGAUGAAAAGAAAUUUGGGGGUGAAUUCGAGAAGAUGAUAAAAUAGUGAAUUGAGAUUAAUUUGGGUUUAUUAUUAUUUUUUUAAUUCGAAAUAAGUUUGAAUAUUGUGAGAAUAUGAUAGAAUUAUGACAUGUUGAAAUGAAUAGACAAAUGUAGGUUUGGGUAGGCAUCAAUUUAGGAAUAAGUGUUUUUCGUUGAAUGAUUGAAUGCAGAAUGCGUAUUGAAUGUUUUCUAGUUUAUCGUAUAUGACUCAAGUGUAUUCAUUUGGUCGGGGAAUUCCCCGACGUGUUAUGUCUUCGAAGGAGGUUCGUGAACAAAGCCCGAGGCAUCGGGUAAGACAUUGGAGCAUAGUUUAGGAUUAGUGUAGGUUAGCGUAAGUUUAUUUUUCAGUACCUUUUUCAUUUCGGGUUGUAAUAAUUGGACUGAACACUAUAUUUUGGAUUUGUUUUAUUUUGUGUGUUUGAUUGAUUGUUUUUAUGUGCUUUGUGUAGUUUAUGCACUUGUAAUGUCAAAGUUAGCCGAUACGCUCUACCAAGUGACCGUGGUCGAACCACGGGAUCAAGGGGUGCCUAACACCUUCCCCUCGGUCAACAAAAUUCCUUAGCCGGAAUCUCUAUUCGCUGAUCAGUUUUAAAGAGUCAAAUUUGUUUUGAAAAAGGAUAUCCAAGGGUGACUUGGCACAUCCGAUUUAUGCCAAGUGGCGACUCUGAAUUUUGAAUAUAAAAAAUCCUUUUCAAAAUAAAUUUUCAUUUUUUGUCACAUAACAAUAAAAACCCUUUCGAACUUCAAAUUAAUCUUUUUUUGGGAGUUAAACAAGGAGUGUGACAGUUCUGACAACUCUGCUGGGGAUUUUUCAGAAUUCAAGCUUAUUUUUGGAGUUGUAUCAGCUUAGUUUGGCACUAUAGGUGUAUAGGCAUUUGUUUGUGUUGUUUUGUGUUAUUGUUUAUCAUUGUUGAGUGCCUACGUGCUCUUUGUUUACAGUUUUUACUUUAUGUGUUAUCGAUUUAUAUCUGACAUCAUGUGCAUAACCCGAGUCUUUCUUUCUGCAACAAGUUCGUAGGACACGUGUGUACACGACCUAUAGUUGAGUCACCCUCAUUUUAGGGGGGAGCCGUUGGGUUGUAUGGAGUAGGUGGCCAGCUAAAGCAAGCCACUAUCAACCAUACACUUCCCCGAACAGCUUUGUUAGUGGACCCCACGUAGGUCAGCCUUGUUAGUGGAUCCCAGCAUAGGUCAGCCUGUAGUUCAUGCUUAUCUACAUCAUAUUGGGACCUAGCGGGACCCAUGUGGCCCUUUGUAGGAGACUCACCUAUAAAGCAUCCCUACUUGCUAAAUGUUGCAUCUCUAAGGGUGAUAUGGUCAUUUGACGGAUUGAUUUGGGAAAAAGCAUGUGCUAGAUUUAAAUAGACUGUGUAGACAAGAAAAAUUGGAAAAAAAGAGAGGAAAAAGAAAGCAAAAGUGAGUCAAAAGGAAAAAAAAAGAGUUUCGUAGUUUUUAGAGUUUUUUUAUGACUUUUGUUUUUCACAAUUCAAAAAUUCAAAAAAUAAAUUUCUACCUUUCGCACUCAUUUUCUCAAAAACAUCAAAAAUAUUUUCCUAUGUCUCGUUUAGCAUGCAUUCAUAAUUCGAAACUUCAAAAAGAUUUUUCAUUCAUAGGAGUUUUUAUAAAAGAAAAAUGCAAAAAAAGAUGUUAGAAAUUUUUUACGUUUCGGAUUACGAAAAUACCAAAAAGAUUUUUAUUUCAUAGUUGUUGAUGUCAUUUUUGUAUGAAGUGUCAAAUUAAAAAUCCAAAAAGAUUUUAUUUUCAUCGUGUAGUCGUGUCUCUCAAGUCAAGAUUUUGUUGUUCUAUAAUCCUUAAUUGUCCAAUCUGAAUGAACUACGCACCCCUGAUUCUCCUCUCUCGGGAGUGAGAUAUGUAGGCAGCCUAUUGUGGGUUCGGGGAUCUUAUUUCAAGAAUUCAAAAAAUAUUUUAUUCACUCUUCGUUUAGAGUAGGUGUUUCAUAUACAUCUUCAAGAAAAAACUACAAAAAUAUUUUCCUUUAAUAGCUUCAAGUUUUAUUUAUGUAUGAAUGCAAAAUUGAAAAUCCAAAAGAUUUUUCUUUGGUAAUCAUAGGUUUCAUUUUGUAUAUGAAUUUUAAAGCUGAAAAUUCAAAAAGAUUUUCGUCAAUUCUUUUGACAAUUUGUUAUUUUCUUUUCUUCAUAAAGUUUCAUGAAUAAGAAAAAGAAAAGAGUUUGAUUGGCCAUUUUGGCAAGAUUUCAUGAACUACGCACACCUGAUUCUCCUCUCUCGGGAGUGAGAUACGUAGGCGCCCUUCUUGGGUUCGGUGACCUUUUAAAAAAAAAGAGAGAUUUUGAGAAAGUGUUGAACUCUAACGCAUUUGCUAUCUCUUGUUCAGUUAGUUUGAGGUGGUUGGUUUGUGGCAUUUUGGCUGGUCUUCCACAUCAUACAAAAUCUGAAGAAGGUUUAGCUGUGUCCAACAAGGAUAUAGAGAGUGGUCUUAUGGAUCAAACAAAAAGUCAGGAAAAUGAGAGUUUAAAGGAAGAGAAUUUGAGACUAAGACAACAAAUGAUGGAAAUGUAUCGAGCUUGAGCUAGUGGGAUGCCUCCACCUCCGUUCCCCACUUUUGACCCUGCAAAUACCUUGAGUCUUCCACUAGAAUCGCAAAGUCAGUUUCUUACUAUUGUUGAUGCACCACAACAUGCCUCAGAAUCCAUUCCUCAUCAAAUGCACCUCAAUACUUCCACCACUCUUUCUUUAGCUCCUCAGCAUAAGUCUACCACAUUCACAGCACCACAUACCGUUUGUGAUUUUGUUGCUCAACCUUCUACUAAGGCUUUCACAUCGGCUAUCAAUCCAAUGAUUGUGCUUCCCCAGCCCACUAGUGAAUCCACGUUCAAUACUCGUGAUAAUCAUUUUUAUACUCUUGAGCCUACAGUUAAAUUAAGUGGACUGCUAAGAUUUCUUACUAAGAAGCCUAGCAUGCUAGAAGAUCCAGAGAAAAUGUUUGGGAAAGUUAAGAGUAUAGAAAAUGAUAUGAAAAGUUCCUUGGAACUUGUGGGCUAUGAAGAUGUUUCAUAUAAAAGCGGGGCUAUGUUUUCAAGUGUUAACCUUCCUCCAAGCUUUGAGACAUCAAAACUUGGGGAGCUUGGUGGACAGAAUGAUUCUGUGAAACAUUUGGUACGAUAUUGCAAUCAAUCAAGGAAAACUGAAGGAAAGAAGAAGGAAAACACAUCUUUUGUCAUGCCAGGGCCAAAGUAGAGUUUGAGAGGUCUAACUCACCAAUACUGUCAGCCUCAAUCCCGAGCUUACAUAUCAAAUUUACUUAUUCAUCUGCAACAAGGUUCCUCUUUUCAAAAUCCAAGGAUUUCCAUUCCACUUCCUCAAUGUCCUUUGAACAAUGCACAAUUGUGUACCCAUCCGCAUUCUUAUCCACAACGACAUGCACCUGUCCCUCAACAUCGUCCUCGAGCCCCACGAAUUUACCAAGGAACCUCUAAAUCCAAGUUUCAUCCGAGGCUAGAUUUCGCAAAAGGGAGAAAGGAAAAGGAUAAUUUCACUCUUAUUGGGGAGUCCUAUGCUAGUUUGUUCCAUAGAUUGAGAUAGAGGGGCAUGAUUCCUCCUCUCCUUAGGUAUACACCUGACCCACAUUCAAGAAAUUUUGAUCCUAAUGUACGGUGUGCAUAUCAUUCUGAUGUUCAGGAUCAUAGUACUGAAGAUUGUCGUACUUUGAAAAGAGAAAUAAAAAAGAUAAUUCAAGAUAAAUUGAUUGUGGUGCAAAACAUUGGCCCUUCGAUUAUCCCACAGAGUUCUUCACCAGCACGCGGUACUGCAUAAUAUAUGGGAGGCAAUGAGUUAAGCAUGGGGAUCCAGAACUUAUUUGUUGAAGGAAAUAUGUCUGACAGUGGUGGAAGCUCAAGUUAUGCCGAUAUGCAAACCAGUGGCUAAUAUGUCAGGCUGAGCAAUUGAGAAGUCACCCCUCUUCUUACUAGGAAGAGGUCUGGUAGUUUGUUUUAUUUUCUUUUCUGUUUUUCAAAUUAUUUCAGUGUUGUAGUUCGGGAUCUAUCUUUUUUUGUCCUUUUGUCGUUUGUGUUCAAACCCUUUUAUCUUUUAUUUCAAUUAAAUAAAGUGUCCCUUUCCUUUUAUGUUUCAAAUAAGUGUUGUUUGUGUAUUUUCUUUAUACAGUACAUUUUAUGUUGAUUCUAGUGAUAUGACAUACCUGCGGAAUUUUUAGUUAGAUCUUAAAAUCCAACUUAAUCAUGAAGCAUUGAAUCAGAGAGUUAAAGUUAAGAAAAGAGAGCAUCUGAGAAAAUAGAUAGAGUGUUGGGGCAUUUGGUGAUCAAGUUGAAGCCUUCUUUGAAAAUUGAGACUUUUAUUUUGAGAAUCACAAGGAUAACUUGGUCAUCAAUUGAAAGACAUGUCUUAAUUAGGUCAAACAGUGUUUGUGUCAUCCUUUCAAGAGGAACAGAAAGAAAAUCAACUCCACGAAAGCAUGAGACAUUCAAUGUGAUGGAUAUACAACAAAGGUGGAGUUUGUAUGUUUGACAAGUUUAGAAGAAGAAGUGGAACACAUACUCAGUUAAAGUUAGUGUUGUUAAAGUAUUGCAAAUGAUCUUCAUUUUUCAUUUCAUGUUGCAUGAUAUGUACUUGCAUUUUCAAGGAUUGAUAUGACGAAGACAUUUCAUUCUGCUAUCUAAACAUCGUGCCGUCCUUUGUUUACCCCAUUUGAGCUUUAGUCCUAUUUUCUUUCAUACCCCUCCUUUGGAAUUAAGAUAGAGUCAGUAAAGCUCAAAAGAAAAGUAUCAAGAAAAAAAAUAGAGUCAGAAGGUCCCAAAAAGAAAAAAAAUUAAUAAAAGAGUCAACAAAAAAAAGAAGAAGAAAAAAUCAAAAUCAAGCAAAAGAACAAGCUUCCAGAACUACGCGUGACCUGAUUCUCCUCUUUCGGGGGUGAGAUGUGUAGUCUUUCCUAUUCUGUGCUCGGUCCAACCAAAUAAAUCAUUUAGAGUCACCCAGUAAAAAGAAACUGGGACAUGAUUUAAUCCUCAUUGUUUGAGUCGAUUCCAAAAGUUGUAAGUCUCACCCCACUUCAAGUGUUGUUUGGGCCUCAUGCCAUCCUUUUUUUUCUAGACCUAUCUAAAAUUCAAGUUACAACCAAAGAAAGACCUUCGGAUCAAUUUUUGAGAAUUUUAAGACUUAGCAUGGAAUGAAUGUGAUGACAUAUUUUAGGAACUACUCAUUUUCCUUAGCAUAAGAAAUCAGGGGAGAAAUAAAAAUGAGAGAAUCUUAUUGGUGAAAACCUUCACGGGCACCAUAAGGCGAUAGUAAGUUGAGAUAGAUAAAAAUGAGAGAGUCUUAUUGGUGAAAACCCUCACGGGCACCGUAAGCGAUGGUGAGUUGAGAGAAAAAUGAGAGAGGCUUGUUCGCAAAAAUCCUUCAAUGAGCCACUAGACGAAUGAGCUCUUCGAAUGCAAUAGGUUCAAGCAAGUAGCUUAGUUUCAGAGCUAUUAACUCAACAACAAUUAGUAGAAAGUUUGGAUGGAAAGAUCAGGCAGUUUGAUCCAAUGUAUGGCAUAAUCAUUAGAGUUGACUGUCAUUUCUAGAUAAAUUUUUCAUUUCUUUAUUUCAAAUGGUGACAUUCAUUGUCUUUUCUUUCUUCUGUGUAUUUUUAUUUUAUUUUCUUUAGUCAGUUGUCCAAAUAAAAUCAUUGUCAUUUUUUUUCUCUUGUCUUUAAGUCAAGCCCAUGUUAAAACAAGUGAGAAAAGAUUUCAAAAUUGGCUACCGGCUUCUUCAAUUGCGCGAAGCAAGACAAAAGACCAACACAUGAAAGAGACAUGAUUGUGAGCCGAAAAAGGACAUGCAGAAAUUUUUAUCAACAGAUAAGUCGGGGAACUCAUGGAAAUACCAAGGUUCAAAGGGUUUAUCUGAGGAGCAUGGAAAAGCAGAGAUAUUGUGCUUGUUUCAGAGUCACCCUUAAUAAAUCGGAGUUUGGUCAAUCAAGCAGCAAGUAAAUUACAUAGGCUAAUGGUUGGAAGCAAGAACAAAUGUGACAAGGGCAAGGCGAUCGCCGCGAAACCCAAAGCCACAAACCAUCCACCCUGCUUUAAACUCACAAGUUUUGUUUGAUGAAACAGGAAACAUAUUACCUUCAAAGCAAGGACUUCAGAGCAUAAAUAUCAAGGCCUGCAAUGCCUCACUUUUACAAAUGCACGAAGCAAUAUUGCUGAACAGGUUUGGUAAUCAAAUCAUGGUAAAAUUCAUCAUCUUAUAUCCCUUGGAGACACAUCUUGUCCAGGGAUUUCAGUUUUCAUUUGCUGGGUGAUACACUUCUUAAAUUGAACCUUCACUCCUAAAAGACGUACCUUUUAGCCGAGUCAUUUCCUUUGAUUCCUAUAAGACGUACCUUUUAGUCAAUUCAUUCCCUUUGAUUCCUAUUAGAUGUACUUUUUAGUCGAGUCAUUCUCCUUUGAUUCCUAUAAGACGUACCUUUUAGUCGAGUCAUUCCCCUUGACCCGUAGAAGAUGUACCUUUUAGUCGAGUCGUUCCUUUGAUUCCUAUAAGACGUACUUUUUAGUCGAUUCAUUCCCCCUUGAUCCCUAGAAGACGUACCUUUUAGUCGAGUCAUUCCCCUUGAUUUCUAAAAGACGUACCUUUUAGUCGAGUCAAUUCCUUUGAUUCCUAUCAGACGUAUCUUAUAGUCGAGUCAUUCUCCUUGAUUCCUAUAAUGAUGUGACUUUUACAAAAGUCCUUUGAUGAUAAACUGGGGCAAAAUUUAAUUCUUGUUUUUGGAACUUUACUUUUCUGGCAAACGAAAUUUCUCUUUAUAAUAAUUUUUGUUUGGGAUAACUUUCUUUCCAGUUUUGAUGUGAUUUCAGGAGCCUGCUCGAAGCACAGGGCGAAUAAAUGGAAAACCAAGCAACAAGGUGAAGAAAUUAAAAGUUAAACAGAUUGAAAAACAGCAAGUCAGGAGCCCGCCUGUAGAACAGGGUGAAGAAAUUGAAAGCAUAGCAACAAGUUUAUGAAAUAGCAAGUUAGGAACCCGCCUGGAGAACAGGGAGUAAAAAUUGAAAGGCAAGCAACAAGUUGAAGAAAUUACAAGUCAGGAACCCUCCUGAAGAAUAGGGUGAUGAGACUCAAGUCAAGAGUUCAAAAGAAGUUGCGUAGAUAGGAUUUUGUAAUUUCAUUUAUGUUUUUAACUUGUAAUUUUUAUUUUUGAUGUAAUGACAGAGCCGCGGACCGAAACCUCGACGGGACCUCACUCGACUCUCCAACUCGGUAUAGUUCCUCUCCUUCCAACCCUUUGAGAUACGUGUCAAUUGAUUCCUUCAUAACUUGGGUAGGUAGGAUGUCCCAAGUCAAUACCCGGUUACUCUUCUUUCUUCUGUUUCUUUUCUUGAAUAAUGGUCGGGUCAAAAUUUGGUCUCGUUGUCUACUUCUUUUUCUGAAAAGACUUCGUGUUUACAUGCAAAGAGGGGCAUGAUAUAGACACGUAAUUUUGUCCCUGUCUGAAAGCAUUUUUACCAUCGUACCUCUCGUCUUACCAUGAACGCUCACCAUGUGAUUAUACCCCACAAAAAUACAAAAAUAGCAAAUUUCAAUAAAUCCCUAAUAUUUCCUUAGCCUAAGAAAUUUUAUCUUGUUUUAACCUUAUCCUAACCAACUACCCCACCUACCUCACCACCACAUACCCCCAAUUUCCCUACCCUCCACGUCUUAUUCAAGAUGGAAACCAAUUCACAAAGACAAAAAAUAGAAGAGGACCCCACUUGAAAGACAAUUUUUGAUCUUUUUUCAUUUUUCGUAAAGGAGAACAAAAUACACUAAAAAAACUCCAUUUUCUUUUGGGGCCUAGGUGAUAUUCCUUUUUCUUCUUUUAUUUCCAAAUUGAUAGGUGGACCCCACGGGAAUUUCCAAUUUCCAUUCCACUUAUAUACACACUCUCUCUCAUAUGUAUAUGGACACCAACGGUAACAAUACAGAGGGUGGACACCAUCAACAUCAUCUUCUCCACCUUAUACCAUCACAGCAAGACACUCCCAUUUCGAAUCAACUUCCAUUUUUCUCUAAAACGAUAGCUAUUAACGCACACAAUUACCCACAAAUACAUAAAAAGACGAAAAGUGGGUCGAGGGUGAAGCGAGGUCGAGAGAAAAAUAGUGAGAUAGAGGGGAUCGAAGAGGAUAGAGAGUGAGAGAUAUAGAGGAGGGAGACGAGAGAGAAAUCGAAGAGGGAGAGAAAAAUUGGUGAGAAUCUGAAAGGCACGGAUUGGAAACGCAAUAUGGUCGGCAUUCUUGGCCAAAAAUGGCCCGCCUCCUCACCGAGAAAUACAAUCAGAUGUUCACCCACCACCAUAAAUGACCAACAUCCGCUUCCCACCGUUGAGAAAUGCAAAACCAGUGAUUAAAUCACCCAAAAUUAGCCUGUUUUUGAGUUGAUUCCAGUGGAGCUUCGCCGGAAAUCGUGUACGGAUUUGGUUUGUGCAGUUUCUUUUUUGGGUUAUCUGUUCGUCACCUCAGAAUUGUGUUCGAAUCCUACUCGAGAAAGUUUUCGUGUUAGAAUGGGUUGACGGUCGAGAUUGAAUAUCCGUCGAGGUUAUCGGGACGGCUCUUAUUUAUCUUAUUAAAAUCAAUCGAAAGCUCUUGAGGUCCAUCUCUUUACUCUUAUUCUGUUUUCUUUAUUUUAUUUUGUUUUGUUGAAAUUGCUAUGAUUAUGUGUUGGGUGAUUGUAGUUGUUGAUUUUAGGAUCAUGUGGUUGGUGAUGACUCCGAUGGUAUGAGGAAUGAAUUUGAUUAGUUUUAAUAAUGCGAUUGAUGAAAAGAAAUUUGGGGGAGAAUUCGAGAAGAUGAUAAAAUAGUUAAUUGAGAUUAGUUUGGGUUUAUUAUUGUUUUAUUAAUUCGAAAUAAGUUUGAAUAUUGUGGGAAUAUGAUAGAAUUAUGACAUGUUGAAAUGAAUAGUCAAAUAUAGGUUCGGGUAGGCAUCAAUUUAGGAAUAAGUAUUUUUCGUUGAAUGAUUGAAUGCAGAAUGUGUAUUGAAUAUUUUCUAGUUUAUCGUAUAUGACUCAAGUGUAUUCAUUUGGCCGGGGAAUGCCCCGAAGUUUCAUGUACUUAUUUAUUGGGGAAUGCCCCGAUGUAUUAUGUCUUCGAAGGAGGUUCAUGAUCAAAUACCGAGGCAUCGGGUAAGGCAUUGGAGCGUAGUUUAGGAUUAGUGUAGGUUAGUGUAGGUUUAUUUUUCAGUACCUUUUCCAUUUCGGGUUGUAAUAAUUGGACUGAACACUAUGUUUUGGAUUUGUUUUGUUUUGUGUGUUUGAUUGAUUGUUUUUAUGUUCUUUGUGUAGUUUAUGCACUUGUAAUGUCAAAGUUAGCCGAUACGAUCUACCAAGUGACCGUGGUCGAACCACAGGAUCGAGGGGUGCCUAACACCUUCCCCUCGGUCAACAGAAUUCCUUAGCCGGAAUCUCUAUUUGCGGAUCAGUUUUAAAGAGUCAAAUCUGUUUUGAAAAAGGAUAUCCAAGGGUGACUUGGCACACCCGAUUUAUGCCAAGUGGCGACUCUGAGUUUUGAAUAUAAAAAGUCCUUUUCAAAAUAAAUCUUCAUUUUUUGUCACAUAACAAUAAAAACCCUUUCGAACUUCAAAUUAAUCUUUUUUGGGGAGUUAAAAAAGGAGUGUGACAGGUUUUAUAGCAAAAUGCUUCUAUUUUUGAAAGAUUCCCUUAAAAAAUGACAUGGAUGAGCACAUUUUGUAACGACAAUAGCAUGGAUAAGCCAAACUUUAAAUGGAUGUCACAGAUGAGCCUUUUCUCAAAGUUCGAUGACAUAUUUGAACCUUUUUCAAUAUAAAAAGCAAAAAUUAGGUGUAUAAUUUGUAUUAAAUUAACAAAGAACGAAAAUUGCAUUAAGGGAGUGAAGGCGACUAGUACUCAAAAGUCGCAACAUGCUUUUUUUUUUUGGGCCUAACCCAUCGUCAAGCCUCUUAAGUACGCGCGAUCUUUCACUUAGGUACCUCAAGUGGACGUCCCUUACUUUUGGCACCUCAAGUAGCCAUAAAGUGGGUCAUUUUGGCACCUUUUGCUAAGUCAACAAAAUAAUACUACGUGCGUGUGUUACACGUGCCGAUGAGCUGGAAAAUGACGAUUAAAAUGUGGGCAUGUGUCAUUUUUAUUCAAAUAAUUUAUACAUAAUUAAUUUAAAUAAAAAAUACCCCCUCCCCCUAACUUACCCACCCCACUAGUCUUCUUCUUCAAACACCCCACC